UGGGAGGAUCACUUGAGCUCAGGAGUUUGAGACCAGCCAGGACAACACAGCAAGAUCUGUCUCUAUCUUAAAAAAACAAAAGGCCGGGUGCAGUGGCUCACGCCUGUAAUCCCAGCACUUUGGGAGGCCAAGGCAGGCGGAUCACGAGGUCAGGAGAUUGAGACCAUCCUGGCCAACAUGGUGAAACCCCAUCUCUAUUAAAAAUAGAAAAACUAGCUGGGCAUGGUGGCGCAUGCUUGUAAUCCCAGCUACUUGGGAGGCUGAGGCAAGAGAAUUUCUUGAACCCAGGAGGUGGAGGUUGCAGUGAGCCGAAAUCGUGCCACUGCACUCCAGCCUGGGCGACAGAGCCAGACUCAAUCUCAAAAAACAAACAAAAACCCAAGUGCUGAGAUUACAGGCAUGAGCCACCACACCUAGCUCUAUUUAAUUAUUUUACUAUUUUAAUUUUAUUUAUUUUUUUCCUAGACAGAGUUUUGCUCUGUCACCCAGGCUGGAGUGCAGUGGCCCUGUCAUGGCUCACUGCAGCCUAGACCUCCUGGGCUCAAGUGAUCCUUCCGCCUCGGCCUCCAGAAGUGCUGGGAUUACAUGCAUGAGCCACCGCACCGUCUGUUUUCUUCCUUUUUAACAUUCUCCUGAUUCUACAACCCUUACAUAGGAGAGCUGCAAUUCCUCCUCUUGGGGUACAAAUUUAUGAGUGCAGGUGCAGUUUUGUUACAUGCCUAACAAGAUUGCAUAGUGGUCAAGUGGACUUUUAACCAAAUGGGUUGUCAGGGCUGAUUGCCAACAUCUGGACAUUUUAAAUUACCAAUCUGAAAAGGGAAACACCUCUGUGCUUGUUUUGCAUUUUGGUGACUAUUGGUAAUGGUUUUCUGUUUUGAUAUAUUCAAUCUGUUCAAUCUGUAUUAGUGCCUACUCUGCCACUGUGUUGGGCGGGAAUCUGAUUUUGUUCUUUGGUUGGAGAUCCAAGUUAACCAGAGCUUAGGCAUUUUAAGAUAACUACCUCAGCUUGAUAGGAAAGCUUGCUCUGCCCGGGGUUAAGGGGUACGGGUCUGAGGGCGACAGAAUCGAUAGCCUCAAGUGGGCAAAGGGUGGCCAAACAGGAGUGGCCUCCGACGUCACUGUGGCGCGCCGCUUCCGGUCUGCAGCCUUGUGGUGGGGCUGGAGCAGAGCCUGCCGCGAAACCCCGGAGCCCACGAUCCCUCGUGCCAUCCCUCGAAUCCGCCAGCACGAGCGUCCCACCCGCGCCUGGGACCAUGGCCACUGACUCAUGGGCCCUGGCGGUGGACGAGCAGGAAGCUGCGGCUGAGUCGUUGAGCAACUUGCAUCUUAAGGAAGAGAAAAUCAAACCAGAUACCAAUGGUGCUGUUGUCAAGACCAAUGCCAAUGCAGAGAAGACAGAUGAAGAAGAGAAAGAGGACAGAGCUGCCCAGUCCUUACUCAACAAGCUGAUCAGAAGCAACCUUGUUGAUAACACAAACCAAGUGGAAGUCCUGCAGCGGGAUCCAAACUCCCCUCUGUACUCGGUGAAGUCUUUUGAAGAGCUUCGGCUGAAACCACAGCUUCUCCAAGGAGUCUAUGCCAUGGGUUUCAAUCGUCCAUCCAAGAUACAAGAGAACGCAUUGCCACUGAUGCUUGCUGAGCCCCCACAGAACUUAAUUGCCCAAUCUCAGUCUGGUACUGGUAAAACAGCUGCCUUCGUGCUGGCCAUGCUUAGCCAAGUAGAACCUGCAAAUAAAUACCCUCAGUGUCUAUGUCUCUCCCCAACGUAUGAGCUCGCCCUCCAAACAGGAAAAGUGAUUGAACAAAUGGGCAAAUUUUACCCUGAACUGAAGCUAGCUUAUGCUGUUCGAGGCAAUAAAUUGGAAAGAGGCCAGAAGAUCAGUGAGCAGAUUGUCAUUGGCACCCCUGGGACCGUGCUGGACUGGUGCUCCAAGCUCAAGUUCAUUGAUCCCAAGAAAAUCAAGGUGUUUGUUCUGGAUGAGGCUGAUGUCAUGAUAGCCACUCAGGGCCACCAAGAUCAGAGCAUCCGCAUCCAGAGGAUGCUGCCCAGGAACUGCCAGAUGCUGCUUUUCUCUGCCACCUUUGAAGACUCUGUGUGGAAGUUUGCCCAGAAAGUGGUCCCAGACCCAAACGUUAUCAAACUGAAGCGUGAGGAAGAGACCCUGGACACCAUCAAGCAGUACUAUGUCCUGUGCAGCAGCAGAGACGAGAAGUUCCAGGCCUUGUGUAACCUCUACGGGGCCAUCACCAUUGCUCAAGCCAUGAUCUUCUGCCAUACUCGCAAAACAGCUAGUUGGCUGGCAGCAGAGCUCUCAAAAGAAGGCCACCAGGUGGCUCUGCUGAGUGGGGAGAUGAUGGUGGAACAGAGGGCUGCAGUGAUUGAGCGCUUCCGAGAGGGCAAAGAGAAGGUUUUGGUGACCACCAACGUGUGUGCCCGCGGUGAUAAGAACUCCCACAGAAGCCAGGAGUCCUGACUUGGUGGAAGGAAAUGUACAGGCAUCUGACUGGUAGAGAACGGAGCCUGCUCUUCCAGGGAUGCCCAUCUCCAGAACAUUGUGUCUCCCAGAGGCUUACUGACUGAUUUCAUAAUUUUGUUGGCACCUGCCAAAGUUUUGUUCUUUUCCUCCAGGUUCUGCUGUAUGCCUGUAUGUGCCCUCUCUUGUACCCAAUUCCCAGAGUUGGCCUGUCCCAAAUUUAUUUAUUUUUUUGAGACAGAGUCUCGCUCAAUGGCCCAGGCUGGAGUGCAGUGGCACAAUCUCAGCUCACUGUAACCUCCGCCUCUUAGGUUUAAGUGAUUCUCCCGCCUCAGCCUCCCGAGUAGCUGGGAUUACAGGCGCCUGCCACCAAGCCCAGCUAAUUUUUGUAUUUUCAGUACAGAUAGGGUUUUGCAGUGUUGGCCAGGCUAGUCUUGAACUCUUGACCUCAGAUGAUCUGCCUGCCUCGGCCUCCCAAAGUGCUGGGAUUACCGGUAUGAGCCACCGCACUCGGCCCUCCAAAUUCUUUCCCUUUACCCGAAGUUGGUAUGCAUUGACUUACCUGUGGACGACAGUGAUUUUUGUCUCCUGUCCUUACUUCUCUCUGUCUCCAACUCUCAGGGACUCAUUCAUCACCUCUCCCUGCACCCCACCCCCUGACCCCUGCUAGUUUGGUUUCUAUGCCUGUAGCUUUGCUUUGGGGCAUCAUCUGAAUCUCAUACUGCACGGCCUUUCAGAUCUGGCUUCCUGCACUCAACGUCAUGCACGUCUCUUAGUGCCGUGUUCCCUUAAUGCUGAGUCAUGCUCCAUUGUAUGGAUGGACCACAUGACUGAUUUGCCUCCUGUCCUUAGUUCUCUCAGCCUCCAACUCUCCUUCCUGCAGGCAUUGAUGUUGAACAAGUGUCUGUCGUCAUCAACUUUGAUCUUCCCGUGGACAAGGACGGGAAUCCUGACAAUGAGACCUACCUGCACCGGAUCGGGCGCACGGGCCGCUUUGGCAAGAGGGGCCUGGCAGUGAACAUGGUGGACAGCAAGCACAGCAUGAACAUCCUGAACAGAAUCCAGGAGCAUUUUAAUAAGAAGAUAGAAAGAUUGGACACAGAUGAUUUGGACGAGAUUGAGAAAAUAGCCAACUGAGAAGCUCCACCAGCCACUGAUGCCAGCCCUGGCACUGCCCCUGCACAGGAGACAAGUGCGUUCAGGGCACAGGCCCCGACAUCACCCCAACGACAACGGCACAAGUAGAGAGAAACUACCUACCUCACUUCAAAUUAUGUUUGGACUUGACAAAAAUGUAUGCAAAUGAUGGGGGAUGGUAGAAAAAAAUUAUUUACACAACCUUGGAAGAUUAGGCAUGAAUACACAGAGAUUUACCUUU
RNA transcript from Pan troglodytes (chimpanzee), 3852 nucleotides. It is a transcript of the gene named DEAD-box helicase 19B, with no coding region annotated. The record is from RefSeq and is marked provisional. The transcript is spliced from 12 exons. NCBI's taxonomy places the organism in Eukaryota, Metazoa, Chordata, Mammalia, Primates, Hominidae.